CAGAGUUGCAAGACUCCCAACCCUUUGCGAACGAACUAGACAGUUGCCUCGGCGGGAUGCUCCUGGGGAGCUCUCCCGCCGGAGGACCACUAAACUCUUGAAUUUUUGGCCUCUCUGAGUAACUUUACAAUGAGUUA
RNAcentral lists this unclassified non-coding RNA (137 nucleotides) under uncultured Chaetomiaceae. Its description in RNAcentral is "sequence contains ITS1". Lineage: Eukaryota; Fungi; Ascomycota; Sordariomycetes; Sordariales. The record is from RNAcentral.